This 648-nucleotide ribosomal RNA is filed under the name Peltigera massonii. RNAcentral describes it as "partial 28S ribosomal RNA". It matches the Rfam family "Eukaryotic large subunit ribosomal RNA", at positions 349 to 1002 of the family's 3401-position model. The record is from RNAcentral. Lineage: Eukaryota; Fungi; Ascomycota; Lecanoromycetes; Peltigerales; Peltigeraceae.
UAGAGNGAUCGAAAGAUGANAAGCACUUUGGAAAGAGAGUUAAAUAGUACGUGAAAUUGUUGAAAGGGAAGCGCUUGCGACCAGACCUGCGCGUAGGUGAUUAGUUAGUAUCCUCUAAGUUACUAGUGCACUCACCUAUAGCCAGGCCAGCAUCGGUUUCGGCGGCGGGACAAAAGCGUGGAGAAUGUAACUCUCUCUUUGGGGGAGUACUUAUAGCUCGUCAUGAAAUGCCGCCAGCUGAGACCGAGGACCGCGCUUCUUAGCUAGGAUGCUGGCAUAAUGGUUGCAAGCGACCCGUCUUGAAACACGGACCAAGGAGUCUAACAUCUAUGCGAGUGUUUGGGUGUCAAACCCAGGCGCGGAAUGAAAGUGAACGGAGGUGGGAACCCUUAAAAGGGGCUGCACCAUCGACCGAUCCGGAUGUCUUCGGAUGGAUUUGAGUAUGAGCAUAGCUGUUGGGACCCGAAAGAUGGUGAACUAUGCCUGAACAGGGUGAAGCCAGAGGAAACUCUGGUGGAAGCUCGCAGCGGUUCUGACGUGCAANUCGAUCGUCAAAUUUGGGCAUAGGGGCGAAAGACUAAUCGAACCAUCUAGUAGCUGGUUCCUGCCGAAGUUUCCCUCAGGAUAGCAGUAACGAUUCUCAGUUUU